Non-coding RNA from Misgurnus anguillicaudatus (oriental weatherfish), 1990 nucleotides. NCBI's taxonomy places the organism in Eukaryota, Metazoa, Chordata, Actinopteri, Cypriniformes, Cobitidae. The record is from RefSeq and is a predicted model, not a curated record.
GCGAUGUUAGAUAUGUAUAAAGGCUAGAUGGCUCAAGGCGGAGUCCCUAACGGCAUCACCUGGCGGCCAUCUUAGGACAGGGCGCUCGCUCACUCGUAGCAUUGAGUUUAAUGGUGCAGGUACUUUUAAAUGACCAUAACUUGCUCAAUUUUCUACCGAUUUUCAAACGGUUUGGGUUUUUACACACGUUAUUAACGUGGCUAUAAUUCUGGAUGCUUUAACAUGUUUCAUGAAUUUAUUUUUUAUUUUUAGUAUAGGUAUGCAGUGUCAUAGGUACAUCUUUGACGUUUAUAACAAACCAAACCGUUUGAAAAUCGGUAAAAAAUUAAGCAAGUUAUGGUCAUUUAAAAGUAACUGCAUCAUUAAAACUCAAUGCUACGAGUGAGCGAGCGCCCUGUCGUAAGAUGGCCGCCAAAAUGCGGACGAGCCAUCUAGCCUUUAUACAUAUCUAUGAUAUAAACAACAAACGCGAUGUGCUCUGUGUGAUAUCAACACAGUGUGCUAUCAGUUGAAAGAUGGAAGUCCCAAGACUGAAGAAACGACCUUGGCGCUUCUGUGAACAUUGCAACACUGAACUGUGUCAUACACAGUAUUUUGACCACAGAAAGCGCUAUUUCAAAAAUGGAGUUUGGGAGAAAAAAUCCAAAAGGACUACGUCAGGUCAGAUAACGUACAGAGCCUGCUGCUAUCCAGUCAAGAACCCGCUGUGAGUGAUGUCCUGUCAUGUGUAAAGACCCGGAGGAUAACUUUACUGGAGUUAGAGAGAUUGGUGAAAGUGAAAUGAAAUCCGAGGACCCAGAAAAAAAGUGAUUGAAGAAUUUGAAGAAAUGCACCCAGCGAAUUGCAGUUCAAACAACGGUGAGCAGAAUUACAUAUUUUUAUAUAAGCUUGGCUUGCUUUACAUAUGUUAGCAUUUUAAACAAUACUAAAACAUAUCAACAAGUAAAAUAAAAUAAAAUAAAAUCAACAAGUUAAACAAAAACGUUUUGAGUAUGCUAUAUCAAAAAGUAGCCAUCCAGCAUGUUUUAUCUAUUGUGGCAGCCCUUGCUCACAAAAAGGUUGGAGACCCCUGGUCUAGUUAAAUGUGGUUGAUUAUCACUGUUGUUGUUAUUUUAAUAGUAUAAAUUAAUUUAUAAUUAAAUAGGAAUAUCGCGUUAUAAUGCAUAACGGUAUCUUCUGUUUGUUGUUUUUCAGACGAAACAGCAGAUGACCAAAGCAUUCAUCUUUUCCUGGACAUCUCCUGUUGUGUGGAUGACUAUGUGGAUGAAGAGGGGGAAAUCCUUGCUGAGGAGCAGAGUGAAGCCUAUCCUCACAUACAAGAUGGGGAGGAGCAUGGAAGUGAUCAGUCCAGAAGUGAAAAAACAGAACACUUGUUGAUGAAACUUUUGGCCAUGAUAAAAUUGACUGGUAUCCUCCGUGACGACUUCUUACAGUAUGUGGUUUGUCCAAAAUGUAUGACAGUGUACAUGCUUACUGAAACCUAUGAGCGCAGACGGGAUGGUACAAAGGUUUGCAGGACUUGUGGUCACAUCCCGUUCUACAAUCACCCACAGCAGAGGUCUGCAUUAAGGAAGAAAUAUGGCUCUGCCUUGCUAAGAAAGGCUACAUAUUCGAGCGGUGAAGAGUAUGUCCAUCCAAUACGUUCUUACUGUUACAAGAGUGUUGUGCAGUCUCUGGGAGGACUUGUUAAAAGACUUGGAUUUGAAGAGAAAUUAGAUGAAAGGCGAAAGCGGGAACUGCCAAAGGGUGUGUUAGGAGAUGUAAAUGAUGGACAAGUAUGGCAGGAUACCAGUAUGUGAAUUCAAUAAACUGUAGUCAUGCCACUAUGCACAGUAUUUGAGCUGUGAUGUAAUUGCACAAGUUACCUUGCUUCAUUCCCAUCCGGACAGACAUUUUGUUGUUUGACAUGUUGUUUGAUGGUGUUUGCAUAGAAUGGACAAAUUGAGCCUGAUUAAAACUCUGUUAAAACAAUUAAAAUUGUUGAAAUAAA